This 471-nucleotide ribosomal RNA is filed under the name uncultured bacterium. RNAcentral's name for it is "bacterial SSU rRNA". It matches the Rfam family "Bacterial small subunit ribosomal RNA", at positions 33 to 505 of the family's 1533-position model. The record is from RNAcentral.
ACGCUGGCGGCGUGCUUAACACAUGCAAGUCGAACGGACAAGGCCCUGCUUUUGUGGGGUGCUCGAGUGGCGAACGGGUGAGUAACACGUGAGUAACCUGCCCUUGACUUUGGGAUAACUUCAGGAAACUGGGGCUAAUACCGGAUAGGAGCUCCUGCUGCAUGGUGGGGGUUGGAAAGUUUCGGCGGUUGGGGAUGGACUCGCGGCUUAUCAGCUUGUUGGUGGGGUAGUGGCUUACCAAGGCUUUGACGGCGUAGCCGGCCUGAGAGGGUGACCGUGCCACAUUGGGACUGAGAUACGGCCCAGACUCCUACGCGCGAGGCAGCAGUGGGGAAUAUUGCACAAUGGGCGGAAGCCUGAUGCAGCAACGACCGACGUGCGGGAUGACGGCUCUUCGGGUUGUAAACCGCUUUCGCCUGUGACGACAGCGUGAGUGACGGUAAUGGGUAAAGAAGCACCGGCUAGACUACG